UGGGGGAGUAUUGGACAAUGGGCGCAAGCCUGAUCCAGCAAUGCCGCGUGUGUGAAGAAGGCCUUCGGGUUGUAAAGCACUUUUAUCAGGAGCGAAACGCUGUCGGCUAAUACCCGGCGGAACUGACGGUACCUGAGGAAUAAGCACCGGCUAACUUCGUGCCAGCAGCCGCGGUAAUACGAAGGGUGCAAGCGUUAAUCGGAAUUACUGGGCGUAAAGCGUGCGUAGGCGGUUUCUUAAGUCUGCUGUGAAAUCCCCGGGCUCAACCUGGGAAUGGCAGUGGAUACUGGGAGGCUAGAGUGUGUCAGAGGGUGGUGGAAUUCCCAGUGUAGCGGUGAAAUGCGUAGAGAUCGGGAGGAACAUCAGUGGCGAAGGCGGCCACCUGGGACAACACUGACGCUGAGGCACGAAAGCGUGGGGGAGCAAACAGGAUUAGAUACCCUGGUAGUCCACGCCCUAAAGCGAUGCGAACUGGAUGUUGGUCUCAACUCGGAGAUCAGUGUCGAAGCUAACGCGUUAAGUUCGCCGCCUGGGGGAGUACGGUCGCAAGACUGGAAACUUAAAUGAAUUGACGGGGGUCAUAGCUG
RNAcentral lists this ribosomal RNA (587 nucleotides) under uncultured bacterium. RNAcentral's name for it is "partial 16S ribosomal RNA". It matches the Rfam family "Bacterial small subunit ribosomal RNA", at positions 354 to 928 of the family's 1533-position model. The record is from RNAcentral.